GCCGGGCGCAGUGGUGCAUGCCUGUAGUCCCAGCUACUCAGGAGGCUGAGGCGGGAGGACCACUUGAGUCCAAGAGUUCUGGGCUGUAGUGCGCUAUGCUGAUCAGGUGUCUGCACUAAGUUUGGCAUCAAUAUGGUGACCUCCCAGGAGUGGGGGACCACCAAGUUGCCUAAAGAGGGGUGAACUGGCCCAGGUCAGAAACAGAGCUGGUCAAAAUUCCCGUGCUGAUCGGUAGUGGGAUCGGGCCUGUGAAUAGCCACAGCACUCCAGCCUGGGCAACAUAGGGAGACACCAUCUCU
This 299-nucleotide signal recognition particle RNA is filed under the name Aotus nancymaae (Ma's night monkey). RNAcentral's name for it is "Metazoan signal recognition particle RNA (ENSANAG00000007286.1)". It matches the Rfam family "Metazoan signal recognition particle RNA". Rfam says of the family: The signal recognition particle (SRP) is a universally conserved ribonucleoprotein. Lineage: Eukaryota; Metazoa; Chordata; Mammalia; Primates; Aotidae. The record is from RNAcentral.